GCAGACACAUUCCAGCCAAUCAGCAGCAGACCCUCCCUCCCAGACUCUCCCACCUCCUGGACAGCAUCCAUUUUUAAGCUGCAUUCUUAGUGAGCUGUCCAGGAGGUGGGAGGGUAUGGGAGGGAGGGUCUGCUGCUGAUAGGCUGGAAUGUGUCUG
Molecule: non-coding RNA, 157 nt
Organism: Pelobates cultripes (western spadefoot toad)
Lineage: Eukaryota; Metazoa; Chordata; Amphibia; Anura; Pelobatidae
Source: the annotation of a GenBank genome assembly